This 272-nucleotide long non-coding RNA is filed under the name Lathyrus oleraceus (garden pea). RNAcentral's name for it is "Pisum sativum (pea) long non-coding RNA (PSAT_LNC006210)". Lineage: Eukaryota; Viridiplantae; Streptophyta; Magnoliopsida; Fabales; Fabaceae. The record is from RNAcentral.
UUUUUUGUGACCUAAUGGUCUCAGAAUGAAGCCCAGAAUUUCUGGUGUUCGCAAGCUUCGCUAGGCGAGCGUUGUAGCGAAGGGUUCGCUAGGCGAAGGAAUUGCUCGCCUAGCGAGCAUGCCAGCUUGGGCCAUUUUCUGGAUUGGGCCACUUGUGAGCUGGGCUUUUAUUCCUUUGAGAUCAGUGCCUUGCAAAAUGAGUUAGAGUGCCUUAGAAAUGCCUUGUAAUAUCAACGAGCAAAUUUUGGGGUAUGACACUUUGCGAUCAUUUU